RNAcentral lists this ribosomal RNA (500 nucleotides) under uncultured bacterium. RNAcentral's name for it is "partial 16S ribosomal RNA". It matches the Rfam family "Bacterial small subunit ribosomal RNA", at positions 29 to 523 of the family's 1533-position model. The record is from RNAcentral.
AUUGAACGCUGGCGGCAUGCCUUACACAUGCAAGUCGAACGGUAACAGGGUGCUUGCACCGCUGACGAGUGGCGAACGGGUGAGUAAUGCGUCGGAACGUGCCGAGUAGUGGGGGAUAACGCAGCGAAAGUUGUGCUAAUACCGCAUACGUACUGAGGUAGAAAGUGGGGGACCUUCGGGCCUCACGCUAUUCGAGCGGCCGACGUCUGAUUAGCGAGUAGGUGAGGUAAAGGCUAACCUAGGCGAAGAUCAGUAGCGGGUCUGAGGGGAUGAGCCGCAGCGCUGGGAGUGAGACACGGCCCAGACUCCUCCGGGGGGCAGCAGUGGGGAAUUUUGGACAAUGGGCGAAAGCCUGAUCCAGCCAUGCCGCGUGUCUGAAGAAGGCCUUCGGGUUGUAAAGGACUUUUGUCAGGGAGGAAAUCCCUAGUGCUAAUAACACUGGGGGAUGACAGUACCUGAAGAAUAAGCACCGGCUAACUACGUGCCAGCAGCCGCCGUAA